Molecule: transfer RNA, 114 nt
Organism: Ostreococcus lucimarinus CCE9901
Lineage: Eukaryota; Viridiplantae; Chlorophyta; Mamiellophyceae; Mamiellales; Bathycoccaceae
Rfam family: tRNA
About the family: Transfer RNA (tRNA) molecules are approximately 80 nucleotides in length. Their secondary structure includes four short double-helical elements and three loops (D, anti-codon, and T loops).
Source: Rfam
UCUUCCUUAACUCAGCUGGUAGAGUGUCAGACUGUUAGGAAAAAGUCUCCGUCGAAUAUGACGGCUGCUCCGAUAGAGAUCUGGAAGCCGCGGGAUCGAAACCCGCAGGAAGAG